This 695-nucleotide ribosomal RNA is filed under the name uncultured Pseudomonadota bacterium. Its description in RNAcentral is "bacterial SSU rRNA". It matches the Rfam family "Bacterial small subunit ribosomal RNA", at positions 68 to 757 of the family's 1533-position model. The record is from RNAcentral. Lineage: Bacteria; Pseudomonadati; Pseudomonadota.
GGGGAAAGGUAGCUUGCUACCUAACCUAGCGGCGGACGGGUGAGUAAUGCUUAGGAAUCUGCCUAUUAGUGGGGGACAACAUUCCGAAAGGAAUGCUAAUACCGCAUACGCCCUACGGGGGAAAGCAGGGGAUCUUCGGACCUUGCGCUAAUAGAUGAGCCUAAGUCAGAUUAGCUAGUUGGUGGGGUAAAGGCCUACCAAGGCGACGAUCUGUAGCGGGUUUGAGAGGAUGAUCCGCCACACUGGGACUGAGACACGGCCCAGACUCCUACGGGAGGCAGCAGUGGGGAAUAUUGGACAAUGGGCGAAAGCCUGAUCCAGCCAUGCCGCGUGUGUGAAGAAGGCCUUUUGGUUGUAAAGCACUUUAAGCGAGGAGGAGGCUACCGAGAUUAAUACUCUUGGAUAGUGGACGUUACUCGCAGAAUAAGCACCGGCUAACUCUGUGCCAGCAGCCGCGGUAAUACAGAGGGUGCGAGCGUUAAUCGGAUUUACUGGGCGUAAAGCGUGCGUAGGCGGCUUUUUAAGUCGGAUGUGAAAUCCCUGAGCUUAACUUAGGAAUUGCAUUCGAUACUGGGAAGCUAGAGUAUGGGAGAGGAUGGUAGAAUUCCAGGUGUAGCGGUGAAAUGCGUAGAGAUCUGGAGGAAUACCGAUGGCGAAGGCAGCCAUCUGGCCUAAUACUGACGCUGAGGUACGAA